AGGAAUUGCAUCAGCAUCUUGCAUUUGACCCAACGCAAAUGCAGCCUCAUGUGCCAAGAGAUUUGAGGGGUCCCUUGUUGCACUGAUAAGAGCAUUUCGUGGACCUGAUCCCCGAAGGUUCCUUAGAGAGAAAAGAGCUCUAAAACGCUCUGAAAUUGGCUGUUCUUGGUCCAGCAAUCUGUCACAUAGAAACUUCUCCAUUUCCUGAGAGACUUUAAAUGAACUUAUUGGAAGAUCGUCUUGGUCCUCCACUCCAACUACAUCUCCAAUCUCACCUACUCUGACCUCCAUGUAUAGCCAAAUUCAGCGUUGGAGAAUUUCACCGAAUAACGUUGGCACUUGACCUAACUUCUGGAAAGUGCAGGGAAGUGAU
This 373-nucleotide unclassified non-coding RNA is filed under the name Hevea brasiliensis (rubber tree). The record is from RNAcentral. Lineage: Eukaryota; Viridiplantae; Streptophyta; Magnoliopsida; Malpighiales; Euphorbiaceae.